This 700-nucleotide ribosomal RNA is filed under the name uncultured beta proteobacterium. RNAcentral describes it as "bacterial SSU rRNA". It matches the Rfam family "Bacterial small subunit ribosomal RNA", at positions 94 to 790 of the family's 1533-position model. Lineage: Bacteria; Pseudomonadati; Pseudomonadota; Betaproteobacteria. The record is from RNAcentral.
AGUGGCGAACGGGUGAGUAACAUAUCGGAACGUACCUAGUAAUGGGGGAUAACUAGUCGAAAGAUUAGCUAAUACCGCAUACGCCCUGAGGGGGAAAGUAGGGGAUCUUUGGACCUUACGUUAUUAGAGCGGCCGAUAUCUGAUUAGCUAGUUGGUGGGGUAAAGGCCUACCAAGGCUUCGAUCAGUAGCUGGUCUGAGAGGACGACCAGCCACACUGGAACUGAGACACGGUCCAGACUCCUACGGGAGGCAGCAGUGGGGAAUUUUGGACAAUGGGGGCAACCCUGAUCCAGCCAUUCCGCGUGAGUGAAGAAGGCCUUCGGGUUGUAAAGCUCUUUCGCAAGGGAAGAAAACUUAUUCUCUAAUAUAGGAUGAGGUUGACGGUACCUUGAUAAGAAGCACCGGCUAACUACGUGCCAGCAGCCGCGGUAAUACGUAGGGUGCGAGCGUUAAUCGGAAUUACUGGGCGUAAAGCGUGCGCAGGCGGUUUGGUAAGUCAGAUGUGAAAUCCCCGAGCUCAACUUGGGAACUGCGUUUGAAACUGUCAGACUAGAAUAUGUCAGAGGGGGGUAGAGUUCCGCGUGUAGCAGUGAAAUGCGUAGAGAUGUGGAGGAAUACCAAUGGCGAAGGCAGCCCCCUGGGAUAAUAUUGACGCUCAUGCACGAAAGCGUGGGGAGCAAACAGGAUUAGAUACCCUGG